Molecule: ribosomal RNA, 50 nt
Filed under: Ariadne merione
Lineage: Eukaryota; Metazoa; Arthropoda; Insecta; Lepidoptera; Nymphalidae
Description: partial 16S ribosomal RNA
Source: RNAcentral
CAAAUAUUUAAAAUAAUUUUAAUUAAAGAAUUUUAUUAAUAGAUUUAUAA